CCUACGGGCGGCAGCAGUGAGGAAUAUUGGUCAAUGGGCGUAAGCCUGAACCAGCCAAGUCGCGUGCGGGAUUAAGGCCCUACGGGUUGUACACUUCUUUUGCCGGGGAGCAAGAGCGUGGACGUGUCAUGUUCCGGAGAGUACCCGGAGAAAAAGCAUCGGCUAACUCCGUGCCAGCAGCCGCGGUAAUACGGAGGAUGCGAGCGUUAUCCGGAUUUAUUGGGUUUAAAGGGUGCGUAGGCGGACUUUUAAGUCAGCGGUAAAAAUUCGGGGCUCAACCCCGUCCGGCCGUUGAAACUGGGGGCCUUGAGUGGGCGAGAAGAAUGCGGAAUGCGUGGUGUAGCGGUGAAAUGCAUAGAUAUCACGCAGAACUCCGAUUGCGAAGGCAGCAUACCGGCGCCCUACUGACGCUGAAGCACGAAAGUGCGGGGAUCGAACAGGAUUAGAUACCCGUGUAGUC
This 460-nucleotide ribosomal RNA is filed under the name uncultured bacterium. RNAcentral's name for it is "partial 16S ribosomal RNA". It matches the Rfam family "Bacterial small subunit ribosomal RNA", at positions 338 to 795 of the family's 1533-position model. The record is from RNAcentral.